AUACUUACCUGGCAGGGGAGAUACCAUGAUCAGGAAGGUGGUUUUCCCAGAGUGAGGCUCAUCCAUUGCACUUUGGGGUGUGCUGACCUCUGCGAUUUCCCCAAAUGCGGGAAACUCGACUGCAUAAUUUGUGGUAGUGGGGGACUGCGUUCGCGCUCUCCCCCU
Small nuclear RNA from Nannospalax galili (Upper Galilee mountains blind mole rat), 165 nucleotides. Its record names the gene U1. It matches the Rfam family "U1 spliceosomal RNA". From Rfam's summary of the family: U1 is a small nuclear RNA (snRNA) component of the spliceosome (involved in pre-mRNA splicing). Its 5' end forms complementary base pairs with the 5' splice junction, thus defining the 5' donor site of an intron. The record is from Ensembl. Lineage: Eukaryota; Metazoa; Chordata; Mammalia; Rodentia; Spalacidae.